Molecule: ribosomal RNA, 1739 nt
Filed under: Salmonella enterica
Lineage: Bacteria; Pseudomonadati; Pseudomonadota; Gammaproteobacteria; Enterobacterales; Enterobacteriaceae
Description: partial 23S ribosomal RNA
Rfam family: Bacterial large subunit ribosomal RNA
Source: RNAcentral
UCGUGGGGUAGGGGAGCGUUCUGUAAGCCUGUGAAGGUGUGUCGUGAGGCAUGCUGGAGGUAUCAGAAGUGCGAAUGCUGACAUAAGUAACGAUAAAGCGGGUGAAAAGCCCGCUCGCCGGAAGACCAAGGGUUCCUGUCCAACGUUAAUCGGGGCAGGGUGAGUCGACCCCUAAGGCGAGGCCGAAAGGCGUAGUCGAUGGGAAACGGGUUAAUAUUCCCGUACUUGGUGUUACUGCGAAGGGGGGACGGAGAAGGCUAUGUUGGCCGGGCGACGGUUGUCCCGGUUUAAGCGUGUAGGUGUGUGUUCCAGGUAAAUCCGGUUCACUUUAACACUGAGGCGUGACGACGAGGCACUACGGUGCUGAAGCAACAAAUGCCCUGCUUCCAGGAAAAGCCUCUAAGCAUCAGGUAACAUCAAAUCGUACCCCAAACCGACACAGGUGGUCAGGUAGAGAAUACCAAGGCGCUUGAGAGAACUCGGGUGAAGGAACUAGGCAAAAUGGUGCCGUAACUUCGGGAGAAGGCACGCUGACACGUAGGUGAAGUGAUUUACUCAUGGAGCUGAAGUCAGUCGAAGAUACCAGCUGGCUGCAACUGUUUAUUAAAAACACAGCACUGUGCAAACACGAAAGUGGACGUAUACGGUGUGACGCCUGCCCGGUGCCGGAAGGUUAAUUGAUGGGGUCAGCGCAAGCGAAGCUCCUGAUCGAAGCCCCGGUAAACGGCGGCCGUAACUAUAACGGUCCUAAGGUAGCGAAAUUCCUUGUCGGGUAAGUUCCGACCUGCACGAAUGGCGUAAUGAUGGCCAGGCUGUCUCCACCCGAGACUCAGUGAAAUUGAACUCGCUGUGAAGAUGCAGUGUACCCGCGGCAAGACGGAAAGACCCCGUGAACCUUUACUAUAGCUUGACACUGAACAUUGAGCCUUGAUGUGUAGGAUAGGUGGGAGGCUUUGAAGCGUGGACGCCAGUCUGCAUGGAGCCGACCUUGAAAUACCACCCUUUAAUGUUUGAUGUUCUAACGUGGACCCGUGAUCCGGGUUGCGGACAGUGUCUGGUGGGUAGUUUGACUGGGGCGGUCUCCUCCUAAAGAGUAACGGAGGAGCACGAAGGUUGGCUAAUCCUGGUCGGACAUCAGGAGGUUAGUGCAAUGGCAUAAGCCAGCUUGACUGCGAGCGUGACGGCGCGAGCAGGUGCGAAAGCAGGUCAUAGUGAUCCGGUGGUUCUGAAUGGAAGGGCCAUCGCUCAACGGAUAAAAGGUACUCCGGGGAUAACAGGCUGAUACCGCCCAAGAGUUCAUAUCGACGGCGGUGUUUGGCACCUCGAUGUCGGCUCAUCACAUCCUGGGGCUGAAGUAGGUCCCAAGGGUAUGGCUGUUCGCCAUUUAAAGUGGUACGCGAGCUGGGUUUAGAACGUCGUGAGACAGUUCGGUCCCUAUCUGCCGUGGGCGCUGGAGAACUGAGGGGGGCUGCUCCUAGUACGAGAGGACCGGAGUGGACGCAUCACUGGUGUUCGGGUUGUCAUGCCAAUGGCACUGCCCGGUAGCUAAAUGCGGAAGAGAUAAGUGCUGAAAGCAUCUAAGCACGAAACUUGCCCCGAGAUGAGUUCUCCCUGAGACUUAGAGUCUCCUGAAGGAACGUUGAAGACGACGACGUUGAUAGGCCGGGUGUGUAAGCGCAGCGAUGCGUUGAGCUAACCGGUACUAAUGAACCGUGAGGCUUAACCUUACAACGCCGAAG